Molecule: long non-coding RNA, 1594 nt
Organism: Marmota monax (woodchuck)
Lineage: Eukaryota; Metazoa; Chordata; Mammalia; Rodentia; Sciuridae
Exons: 2
Source: RefSeq, a predicted model, not a curated record
AAUAAGUUCAGAGCGAGCAAUUCAAGCUCUUCAACUCUAAAGUCACUGUUUAAAGUCACUCUUUGGUGACUUCUUUUUUGGCAAGAUAAAUAUUUUAAAGCAUAAGAAAUGGGCGUUCCCUUGCAACUUCAUGCUGGAGACAGUCAGGGGUCCACCCUUCGGCAUUAGUGAGGGUCGCUGUGCCCAGCUGUCGUGACACCGAGCCUUCAGGACCCGCGCUGUGAGGACCAAAGAGCCAGCACCCGCGCUCCCCGGCUUUGUACUCGCCUCCGUUCUCUGAGCCCGGGUUCAAUGGGAAUAAACAGAGGCGCCUUCAAAACAGAAAGGGAAAUCAGCCACUGCAAAGAAUAACUGCGUUCCACGAGGCCUCUCAACAAGGCCACCGCCGGGAGCCGCGGUGUCCCCCGGCGCAGGGGCGGAGGGGCGCACCUGGCGGCGAGGGCGGGGCGGGACGCGGUCUUCGUUUUCUUUUCCUUGUCAAGUGAAUUCCCCGAAGGGCUCCGAAGCUUCUGCUUGGCAGAACAAGGGAAAAUAAGACAUUUUUAAUGUAUUCCAUUGUCUUUCCCGGUGACAGAGCGCCGUCCCCCAGCAGGUUUCCAAGUGUCUCUGUCACUGCGCGCCCGGGCUCUCCUCUCCGCGCUGCCGCCCGUAAUGAGCGGGAAGAAGGAGUGCUCGUCGCAGAGGGCGAUUAUCACAGGUCUCCCAGCUCCUGCUUCCACCUGCCGAGGAAAUCACGGCUCCGCGGCGCGGGCAUUUAUCCUUGUGCAAGUUCAUUUGCAAGUUGAGCAGAACUCAAAGGCAGGAACCCACCAAGACAGUCGGUCCGGAAGGAACGCCGUCCGUUUAAACAUCUGGGUCUCACUAAGUUGCUGGCUUUGAAGAUGAAGAAUGCCACAAGCCAUGGGCUGUGGGUGACCUCUAGAAGCUAGAAGAACCAGCUACAAGAGUCUCCCGUGUAGCCUCCUUGGUGUUAGCUUAGUGAGUCCCUUUUUGGGUCUCCCUAAGGGACCCCUUCUGACUUCCAAAACAUGAGUUUGUGUUGGUUUGAUCCACUUAUAUUUGCAGUAAUUUGUUAGAAAUUGUGACCAGCCUCAGUUCAGUGCUGGCUGCUGGGAGAGCCUUCCCUGACCACCUGUCCAGAGCCAGGUGUGUGGCUGCUGUCCUGGUGUGCGGCUAUGGCAAAUACCUGAGCGAAGCCACUUAGGAGAGGAAAGGGUUAUCUUGGCUCACAGGGUUGGAGCUUUCAGUCCAUGAUCGACUGCCCUGUGCUGGCACGUCAUGGCAGGGGACACAGCAGAGCCAAAUCCUUCACCUGUGGCUGGGAAGCAAAAGAGAUGGAGAGGAAGGUCCAGGGUCCCACAGUCCCUUCAAAGGCCAUCCCCCAGGGACCUGAAGACCUCCCAGGAGGCCCACCAGCUCCCCAAAACAUCACCCUGAGGAGCAAACCUUUGUCACCACAUGGGACUCUGGGGGACACACGGGAUCCAAACUCCAGCACUUGGGCAGGUGCUAAGCACUGCUUUAGGGACACAGCAGUGAACAAGAUGCUAAUAACGUGCCUGCAGGAGGACAAUAAAUCAAUAAGAAAAAUAAA